This 71-nucleotide transfer RNA is filed under the name Parcubacteria group bacterium. Its description in RNAcentral is "tRNA-Gly". It matches the Rfam family "tRNA". From Rfam's summary of the family: Transfer RNA (tRNA) molecules are approximately 80 nucleotides in length. The record is from RNAcentral.
GCGGAAUUAGUUAAGUGGUAUAACAUCAGCUUCCCAAGCUGAGAUCGCGAGUUCGAUUCUCGCAUUCCGCA